RNAcentral lists this ribosomal RNA (495 nucleotides) under uncultured bacterium. RNAcentral describes it as "partial 16S ribosomal RNA". It matches the Rfam family "Bacterial small subunit ribosomal RNA", at positions 28 to 505 of the family's 1533-position model. The record is from RNAcentral.
GAUGAACGCUGGCGGCGUGCCUAAUACAUGCAAGUCGAGCGAACAGACGAGGAGCUUGCUCCUCUGACGUUAGCGGCGGACGGGUGAGUAACACGUGGAUAACCUACCUAUAAGACUGGGAUAACUUCGGGAAACCGGAGCUAAUACCGGAUAAUAUAUUGAACCGCAUGGUUCAAUAGUGAAAGACGGUUUUGCUGUCACUUAUAGAUGGAUCCGCGCCGCAUUAGCUAGUUGGUAAGGUAACGGCUUACCAAGGCAACGAUGCGUAGCCGACCUGAGAGCUACCAGGGGCAAGAAGGAGGAACAAGCCGGGGCGGGAUAGAGCGGGAGGCAGCAGUAGGGAUUCGGUCACAAUGGGCGACAGAGCGAAAGAUCAACGAAGUGGGAGAGAAGAAUUUCUACAGAAAGUAAAACUGUGUUAAUGGGGAAAAACAAGAAUGUAAGUAACUAUGCGCGUCUAGACGGUGCCUAAACAGAAAAACACGGCUAACGACG